Long non-coding RNA from Equus asinus (donkey), 2295 nucleotides. The record is from Ensembl. Lineage: Eukaryota; Metazoa; Chordata; Mammalia; Perissodactyla; Equidae.
AGUUUGUAUUGAAAUAGAAAUAAUUUUCUUAAAUGAGGAACAACCUAUAUGGCAAAAGGAAUCAUGAGCAAAUAGACUUCAGAAUCUGCUACAUGUGCCUGGGGUCAUUCUACUCUCAGGUUCUGUGGCCUAACUUCGUUCCCUAGAUAGAAGAAGAAGGGACAAUACAUUUAGCAGCGUGGUAAAGACUACCCCUGGAAGACUGAUAUCAUCCUGUGUUCUCACAAAGGAGAGAAAGAACCCUUUAUUCUUUAGACCAUGAGAUGACAUGUGUUACCCUAUGAAAUAGGGUAACUAAAUUAAAAUAUGCCCUUUUUUGGCACAAGAAUAUUCUCAGGAAGAGAGAGAGAGAGAAGAAGAAGAGAGGGGAAAACAAAUGUUCAAAUAUCUGCAUCCAAAGAUCCUUCUCUGGGGUUUCAUUUCAGCGAAAGGGAAAUGUCUUCAAUGGUUUGGGCGGUAUUCAUGUAUUGCCACCCAUCCUGGCCUUCGACUUCAGAAUGUGGAAAGAGAUUUCCUUUCAAACUACUCUAAACCAACCUAAGGGACAGCCAUUUGAUUCUUCUUUGGUUAGAUAAAAUCCAAAAGUAUCAGCUUAAGGAGGCAAAUGUGGAGUCUGUCUUAGAAAGUUAGACUGCUUUACAGCAAGAGCUGCAUAAGAGAAGCCUAUACCUCUACCCAGGCUUGGACUGAAUAGAAACAACAGCAAAAGUUCAGAGAUGUCCAGGAUGGAGUUGAAACAGAGUUUUGCCCAAACUGAAAGUGACCAGAUCACAAGUUUACAGGACCCUCAGAACUGAAGUGCAAAUGCCGACAUGACAAACAUCAGCCAGUGGACUUGGCCUAGGAGCCCGAGGACAGCAGGCCACCUCCUACCCUGCUACUAGGAAACAUAAGCCACAACCUCUCUACAGAGAUUUUUAGUCAUUAUUCUUAGAUAUAACAAAAUUUCAUCAAUUCAGAGUUUUUUUAAAAAAAGUGGAUCUAACAUACCAUUUCUCCUAUGAUUCUUUUAUUUUCUCUAAUUUCUUUUUUUUACUCUUUUUUUUAAUGAUUACAACUAAACUGAAAGGUCAAUUAUGUUCACAAUUAGCUAAAAAUUGACCUAUUAAAUAUAAACACUGUAGUCAAUUCAUGUAUUUGAAGACCAUCAACCCUGGUAUUACUCCAUAACUAUUUUAUAAUCACUAUUCACAUGUUCUUGGAAGAGAAAUAUAUGACAGAAAAAAAAUUAACUUCACCAAAGAAUUAUAAAGAGUAAACAAAGAAAAGAAAAUCCAUCAGAGUCAAUUACUAUUAUUUUAACAAGACUCUUUAUACUCUUUUAUCCUACAGCAAGGAUUUGAGAUGUGAUCACAAGUUAUUAUAGCUAACAUUUAUUGAAGACUUGAUAUAAACAGGACACUGUGUGUUGUGCUUUCCAUGCUUCUCAUUAUAUAUACUCAUUCAAUAUAUAUUUUUUCAAUGUCAACUAUGUGCCAGGAACUGUGCUAGUUACUAGGGAAAGAGAGUGGUGUCCUAGAUUAGAUAAUACAUAGACAGAUACCAUUUCUGUCCUUACUUGGCAUAGCUUCUCAUGGAGAAUACAAACAAAAAAGAAAGCAAAAUGAUAAAUAAAAAAUAAUUUCGCUUAUAGGUAUUAUUAUAGAAACACACGAAAGAGAAGGAGAAUCAUGCACAUGGGUCUUCCUUUGUAAACACAGUCAGGGAAGACCUCUGAGAAAGACAUCUUUAAAAUGAGGCCUAAAGUAAGAAAACCACAUAAAGUGUUGAUGUGAAGUGUGAAGAAAGGGAUGGAGGGAAAAGAAAACCAUGUAAAAGGCACACCUUAUGCCAAAUGGCCAAGGCCAGAAAGAGCUUGGAGUGGUCACAAAAUUGAAGGAAACAGUUUGACUUGUGUGUGUCAAGCUUGAAGGAACGUAGCACAACAUAAAUUUAGCAAGAUAUGCAGCCAGAAAUCAUGUAGAGACUUGUGAGCCAUGGAGAGAAUAUAUAUUUUAUAUUAAAUUCAGUGGGAAGCCCCUAUAGAAUACAAAGCAGAAAAAUGACGCGAUCCAAUUUAGGUGUUAAGGAUAUCAGAGCUGCAACAAUGUGGAGACUGCAUAAGAAGGACCUAAGAAGAGAAAAAGCCUAGAUUGUUGAUGCUGGUAUCAUUCUAGGCAGAAGAUGACUGUGGUUUCACUAAGAAGGUGGCAUUAGAGGUCAUAGGAUAGAAUAAAGUUAAAUUUUGGAAAUAGAAUCAAGAUUAUUAAUGGUUUCAGUGUUGGGAUGUGAGGGGAGAGAAGAAUCAAAGGUUAU